CAGUCACAUCACAGUGAAGCACCAGUUCCCAUACAAUUACCAAAAUUAAGCAAUAUUGACCUUGGUCAGUACCUAGAUGGGUGACCACUUGGGAAUACCAGGUUCUGUAAG
Acanthosepion pharaonis is the source of this 111-nucleotide non-coding RNA. The record is from the annotation of a GenBank genome assembly. NCBI's taxonomy places the organism in Eukaryota, Metazoa, Mollusca, Cephalopoda, Sepiida, Sepiidae.